RNAcentral lists this ribosomal RNA (523 nucleotides) under uncultured bacterium. RNAcentral describes it as "bacterial SSU rRNA". It matches the Rfam family "Bacterial small subunit ribosomal RNA", at positions 355 to 896 of the family's 1533-position model. The record is from RNAcentral.
UUAGGAAUCUUGCGCAAUGGGCGAAAGCCUGACGCAGCCAUGCCGCGUGAAUGAUGAAGGUCUUAGGAUUGUAAAAUUCUUUCAGCGGGGAAGAUAAUGACGGUACCCGCAGAAGAAGCUCCGGCUAACUUCGUGCCAGCAGCCGCGGUAAUACGAAGGGGGCUAGCGUUGCUCGGAAUUACUGGGCGUAAAGGGCGCGUAGGCGGACAGUUUAGUCGGGGGUGAAAUCCCAGGGCUCAACCCUGGAACUGCCUUCGAUACUGGCUGUCUUGAGUUCGGGAGAGGUGAGUGGAAUGCCGAGUGUAGAGGUGAAAUUCGUAGAUAUUCGGCGGAACACCAGUGGCGAAGGCGACUCACUGGCCCGAUACUGACGCUGAUGCGCGAAAGCGUGGGGAGCAAACAGGAUUAGAUACCCUGGUAGUCCACGCUGUAAACGAUGAGUGCUAGUUGUCGGCAUGCAUGCAUGUCGGUGACGCAGCUAACGCAUUAAGCACUCCGCCUGGGGAGUACGGUCGCAAGAUUA